UUAUUACUAAUCGGUUAAAAACAUGUUCCCUAGUCUCUCUCUUGCUUGAAUGCAUUCAAGAACAUUCUCAUUGUUGAAGUCCACUUCAACUUGUUCCGCAGCGCUACCCUAAGCAUUGGGAUUAGGGCUUCUAAGUUGUAACUAUAAUAGAAAUCACGAGCUACGUUAAUCCCAACGUCUCUGCACUCUGCGAGAUUCUCAGUGAUUCCUCGUCAACACAAUCUCUGAAUUCGAUCACAAACCGUGGAGUACCUUCGUUUCUUCUACUUGGAGGAAUCAGCAAUCGGUUUUCCGUCACUCUCCUCGCAUCCGUUAAAUUAGAGGUGAGCCACUACACCGUAACCGUUUUUUUUUUUUUUUCUGGAUUUGAUCGAUUUGCAUUACUUCAAUUUCAAUGCAAUGCCGUGACGAGGUUCUUAUGAGUCACCAGAUGUAUAUCUCAAUUCUUGUUCGAACUGCAAUUACAUUUACCUGCUUCAUUGUUGCCAGAUCAUACAAAAUUUUUACUUAGAUUAAUUCGGUUAGUUUAUAUUUAGAUCUAAAUCUCGUCACCGCGGCAUUAUUCCGUCAGUAAGAGACUCACAAUUUUUUACUAAUCUUUCAAUACUCCCUCGCCACCGUGAAGAGCUUGUUCUACAUCCUUGAUUGUGUAGACAUUUAAUAUUUUUGCUAUUAUUUUAUUUGCUUGAUAAGGAUAGUAGUUUGUUCUAUUUUGUCACACAUGAUGAUGGUUAAGUUGAAAAUCGCUCUGCCAAGAGUUGCUUUGCAGGCAUACAUGGAAAAGCCGUGCUUAGCUGAUUGUUUUAUGAUUUCUUAUUGCUUUUUAAGGAUGCUUCCUCUGAACACUACUUGCUCUUUGAUUGCAUAUCGUAUACCUUAAUCUAAAUUAUUAGUUAUUUAGCUUCAUUGCAUCAAUUCUACUUUACCCAUCCAAUCCUGAAAGUAAUGAGAAACGAAAUCUGGAAAUGUGAUUACAACAGAAAGUGGAACUACAUCACUGCAUAUGGCAUAAUUUCAUGUUUUCAUUCUGUUUAUAAGGUUUUAGGGAAAUUGUCUUGGCUAUUGGUACAAGGGAAAUAAAUUACAUUAAGUACAAUAAUAUGUCUUUUCUAACCCAUUUCAUGUCAUUUAUGUCUCUACUUGUAUGAAAGGACUAAACGUGAGACUUUCUCUAUCCAUAAUGAAGCACCCAAAAGUUGAACCCAACAUUAUGCCAUUUAAAUCUAAAAAACAGUGAUGAUAUCUUUUUUGGAAUGACUGCUGUAGAACCUAAUUGCAUUUAGCAAUAUAAUUUAUGUUUAAUGGCUUAUUCGGUUCUUAUAACUAAAAGCCCUUGUUCUUUUAAUUUCUAUUUUAAAACAUCAUAUUUUAAAUCCUAGACAACCGUUUUUAAUCCCUUCAAUGAGAAUUAAAAGUGAUUGAAGAUUAUAUGUGUAGGCACUAGAAGGAAAUAUUUAUAGGUAAUAGGGACUAAAAUGAGUGUUUUUAACUAUAGGAACCAAAUGAAAAAUUAAACUUGUAAUUUAUAUGGCUGUUUUAAGGAAAGUUGUUAUGAUAAUACUGUCGAUGUCGAUACUUCCAUGUUUUGAACCUACGGUCUUUCCGUUUAUGUUAGUGGAAGGGAGAGCUAUUUGCUUCCAGUUCACAAUGGCCGAUUUCCUUUUCUCUUUUAGUCAAACAUUUGCCCACAUAUGUGUUAUAUCUACAAGGUCUACAGAAAUAUAAAAUGACUAGAUAGUUCUCCUUGACGCUGAGAUUGAUAAUAAUAGAGAUUUGGGUAUUAUAGAGUGCUUAAGUUUCGUAUCAAGUAGAUGGAGUAGUUAAAUGGUUUGAUUCUCCUCCUUUAGCGGGUAGGUUUUAAGGGAGGGUUUUGCUUGUCUUUCAGAUGCUUAUACCAUUUCUUUGUAUUAGCUUCAUGGCUUGGUAUUCCUUAUUAGGAUGUAUAGGUGCUUAAUUUUUUUGGACAAUGUAUGUUUAAACUUUGCCUUGAAUUUAAAAUAUUUAGACUACUGUAGGCUACCCUUUUCACUAUUGUGUAUAUCAGUGCAGCCAAUAAAUGGCCUACUUUGUUUGAAAAGAGAGCAUGCAUUUCUCUUUACGGUUUUCCUCGUUAGUUUUUUUGUAUGGAUCAGUCAGUUUCUUCUGUUGAUUUGCCAUGUCGUAAGAUAAAUUCUUAUAAGCCUUGUGGGUUGUCAUCUUCAGGCCAAUUCUCCCCCUUUCAGUCUAACAUUAAGUACAAACUGAUGGCAAAGCUAAACUCACCUCAGAAGCCGCAUAUUAUUUCACAAAUCUUGUCAGCUAUUGCAUUUAUGAUUGACUUAAAUGUAACAUCUCUUUCAAUGGAUUAAGUUCACUAAUAAGAAUCUUGAAACUGGAAGCUAGUUUAACAUUUCUCUGAAUUGUUGAAUGUUUGAUUUAUUACUUGCUGAACCUAACCACUGUUAUGCACUUGUUCCAGCCAGAGAGAAGCUGUUAAAGUUUUCAUAUGGAAAGCCACUCCGUCAUCAUAAAAUCCAAGGGAUAGAAAUCUCUUUUGUGCGCCAUCAAUUAAAAAAAUUCCCAUCUUAUAUUCAAUUCAAGUAAGUAGGCAACGUAAUUCCUAAGUUUGUGUAAUAUUUGAACUUGAAAUGCCACUAAAGAACCAUAUUAAAAACGAUUUUUUUAGAAGAUAACCCUAUAGACUAAUCUUAUUUGUUAUAUUUUUCAUUUUUUCCUUAGGGAUGACGUAAAUGAUUGCAAGAUAAUAAAAUAAACAUAAAACAAAGUUGUCAUUGUCGAUUCAUAUACGUUGAACUCGAUAAAGCCAAGCUGGACUGACUGCAGGGCAGGGCCUAAGCUCUCAAAAAAAAGAGGCUACAAAACAUUGGACUGGCCCCAUUCACAUAAAAUCCUAGCUGAAGACAACUAAAAACUAUACAGAUACAUAUACAAAAGCUAUACACUCAACGUACACCAAAAUUCACAGUUAUGUUACAUGAAACUGUUGGACAUUCCCUUCCUACUGCCUCAUCUCUGCAAGAUGAGUUGAAUUUACAGGUCGCGUUAGGUUCCUCACCAGAUGCUGGCGAAUUUUUAGUUUCCUCACGGUACAAGCUGACACAUCUCAUGCAUACAAACUUAGAAGGCAUGCCAUCAGAAUUAUCAAUUCCAGCGCAUCUGGUAUGCUGCCAAACGCCACAUGUAUCACAUGCUAACAUUUUCUCUCCAUCAUCAUCCUUAGCCCCACAGGUGCAAUCAACCUUCCACGCCUCAGUUCCUCGUUCCAUUCGGAAUCUGCUUAGCCCAUGUUUGGCUGGGCAUUUACCUUGAAUUCGGACUGAUCCACUUGUUCCGAGCAAUAACUUUACGGUGAGCGAAUCACUGAUUGACCCAUAUCCCAGGAGUUCUUCAGCUUGAAACCUCUUAUACAUUGCAUACACCUCUUGAAAAGCACUAGUGGCUUCGCUCUUGAGCUCAGCAACGGUGGCAUUCAAAGGCAACACAAUAAGCUCUGGCGGUGGGCAUGGAUCUUCCUUAGGCUGAUCAGAAAGCUCCACAUGGCACCACAACCUAAUCACAGAAGGCAGUUCUAUGGCCAUUUCAUAUGGCUUGUAAUCCUUCAUAAAUUGUUUACAGUCAAGGAGCUUCCUGGCUGAAUCAGCAACCCUUUUCCUCAUAAUCCUAGGUCUGUAGGACAUCAUUUUCUCAGGAUGUAUUAUCGAAUCAAAUAAAAAUUUCAAGUCAGAGAUCAGUUGCCCUUCUGUAGGAUAGCUUAAAUCUGUACUUAAUCCAUUACUCCUUGGUCCCAACCUGUUAUUAAGUAUAUAU
RNAcentral lists this long non-coding RNA (3807 nucleotides) under Phaseolus vulgaris (common bean). RNAcentral's name for it is "long non-coding RNA (PVUL_LNC000003)". Lineage: Eukaryota; Viridiplantae; Streptophyta; Magnoliopsida; Fabales; Fabaceae. The record is from RNAcentral.